GAUGAACGCUGACAGAAUGCUUAACACAUGCAAGUCGAUGGGGAAGUGGUGCUUGCACCAUGGCAACCAUGGCGGACGGGUGAGUAACGCGUAAGGGACUUACCUGCAGGACUGGGAUAACAGGGGGAAACUCCUGACAAGACCGGAUAAUGUCAUGGAGCUGCAUGGCUUUAUGAUGAAAGGAGACGCCUGCGGAGAGCCUUGCGUCCUAUUAGCUAGUUGGUGAGGUAAUGGCUCACCAAGGCGAAGAUAGGUAGCCGGCCUGAGAGGGUGGACGGCCACAAGGGGACUGAGAUACGGCCCUUACUCCUACGGGAGGCAGCAGUGGGGAAUAUUGGACAAUGGGGCAACCCUGAUCCAGCAAUUCUGUGUGCACGAAGAAGGUUUUCGGAGUGUAAAGUGCUUUCAGCAGGGAAGAAGUAAGUGACGGUACCUGCAGAAGAAGCGACGGCUAAAUACGUG
RNAcentral lists this ribosomal RNA (462 nucleotides) under uncultured bacterium. Its description in RNAcentral is "partial 16S ribosomal RNA". It matches the Rfam family "Bacterial small subunit ribosomal RNA", at positions 28 to 507 of the family's 1533-position model. The record is from RNAcentral.